Molecule: transfer RNA, 71 nt
Rfam family: tRNA
About the family: Transfer RNA (tRNA) molecules are approximately 80 nucleotides in length. Their secondary structure includes four short double-helical elements and three loops (D, anti-codon, and T loops).
GCGCCGAUAGUCUAGCGGUAGGACACGGGCUACCCAAGCCUGUAACCCGGGUUCGAUUCCCGGUCGGCGCA